AAACAUAACAUAGAGGGUCCUGCCUGCCCAGUGACAGAAAGUUAAACGGCCGCGGUAUCUUGACCGUGCGAAGGUAGCAUAAUCACUUGUCUCCUAAAUAGAGACUGGUAUGAAUGGCAAGACGGAACUUAACUGUCUCCUUUUCUCCUAUCCUAAUUUCACUUUCCCGUGAAGAGGCGGGAAAAUAUUCGCUAGACGAGAAGACCCUGUCGAGCUUAAGCAAAAUGCUAAUUUCUAACUCCUCUUAAUUAUAUUCUAAUUUUUUCUGCUAAACGUAACUAAGAGAAAAUUAUUAGUACAAGCUUUGGUUGGGGCAACCACGGAGAAGAAAAAUCCUCCGCUUACAAUAGAUAAAAAUAAGACCCUACAAGUCUAAUAUUGUAUAAACAAGUCAAAUGAUCCACCACGGUGAUCAAAGAAAAAAGUUACCGCAGGGAUAACAGCGUUAUCUUUUCUGAGAGUUCACAUUGACGAAAAGGUUUGCGACCUCGAUGUUGGAUCGGGACAUCCUAAGGGUGCAGAAGCUUUUAAGGGUUGGUCUGUUCGACCAUUAAAGUCCU
Molecule: ribosomal RNA, 560 nt
Filed under: Mellita sp. 2 Brazil, Trinidad
Lineage: Eukaryota; Metazoa; Echinodermata; Echinoidea; Clypeasteroida; Mellitidae
Description: partial 16S ribosomal RNA
Rfam family: Bacterial large subunit ribosomal RNA
Source: RNAcentral